UAUUAUAAGUUAAUUUAAUAUUUAUAUUUUUAUAUUAUUAUUCUUUACCGACUGUUGUUUGCCGCGGACACACCUUAUUAACUGUUGGGUUGCGUCUUGGCUAAAUUGUCGCACUUUGUAAACAGCUGUUGAUCUGUUCCCACUUUGGGUGACAAGAUCAGCUGUAUUUAUUUUGACUUAAUUUUAUUUACUAAAAUCGCUUGGUAGCUAUCUCGCUCCCUUCAAUUUCCAGUGAAAAAGAAAAGAGCUGAUGUUCCCCGCGCUACACUCGACCAAGGGGUGUCACACUCGGGGAGCUCUUCAAUUUAUCAACUUUCCACAACACUUGCAUACAUGCGUAACCAGUGUGCGUGUGUGUGUGUGUGUGCGUGUGAGUGUGUGUAUUCUCACAAAUUCCACCACUACGGCUUGUGGCAUGAACUAGCAUCUAAAGCAGUGUACUUCAAGUGGCAAUAAGCUCCUUGCUCCUUCACAUUGUGUACUCACCAGUAAUUAUUCUCGCAAUAGAUUAUGUUGUAAUCUCAAUGACCAAAGUAUGGAAAGAAGUACAAAAAAAAAUUAAUCAAAUAUAGUAUCAUCCUCAGGGAUGGACAUAUAGCGCUAGAGAGCGAAGUUCGUAGAUAUACAGCAAUAACUACUGGAAGAUAUAAAAA
Long non-coding RNA from Ceratitis capitata (Mediterranean fruit fly), 653 nucleotides. RefSeq lists it as uncharacterized. The record is from RefSeq and is a predicted model, not a curated record. NCBI's taxonomy places the organism in Eukaryota, Metazoa, Arthropoda, Insecta, Diptera, Tephritidae. The transcript is spliced from 3 exons.